Molecule: long non-coding RNA, 1301 nt
Filed under: Olea europaea subsp. europaea
Lineage: Eukaryota; Viridiplantae; Streptophyta; Magnoliopsida; Lamiales; Oleaceae
Source: RNAcentral
GAACAAUUCAAGGACUUUUAAGUCAAGCUCUGUGACAUCAACAACUCGAUAUAUACUUCAAAAAAGAAGUAUUUAGAGAGAAAGGUCAUGAAGAAGAUUCUUAGAUAACUUACUAAUCAAUUUCAUUUUGUAGUAAUUACCAUCGAGGAGAGUAAAAAUAUUGAAAGCAUAAAGGUCGAAGAGUUAGUAGUACAAGAGUUAUGAGGGAGUGUUCUUUGGUUAGUCAGAAAAUAGCCAUGACUAUCGAGUGUAUAAAAUAAGGAUUCAAACUAUUGUCGAGUCUAUUAAUGUCAAUAUUGAUGAUACUGAUGAUUUCUCCUCUUUCUCAUAGGAACAUGAGAUUUAGAAUUUGGUAAAACAAAUUGAAGGUACUCAGAAUUCUCCAAAAAAAUUAUGCUACAGAUUCUAAAAAUAGACGUCGGACAGAAUUACCAGUACCAAGUUCUGAUGAUCCUGCACUAGCCACUGCAAGCAUUCACCCGCUAGAAAAAGACAGUGAAUUGUAGAAUAAAAGGCAGUUUCUUACCUGGAUCCAGAAAAUUCAUCUACUACAAAAUGCGCUCUCAGAUCGUGGAGAUAGAAUGAUGACCAGACAAAGACUUGCUAGAAAACUGUGGAAUGUUUGCUGUACCUCACAUAUUGAGCCCAUAAAUGUAAUUGAGGUACUCUUGUUGAUGAAUCUUAGUAUCACAAUACUGGACAAACUGGCUCAAUUUGAGCAAAGCAAUGUAUGGAAUUUAGUAUCUCGGCUAAAAGAUACAAAUAUGAUUGAAACAAAGUGGAUCGUCCAAAACAAGUCAGAUGAGCAUGUCAAUAUAGUCUGAAACAAGGCACGACUGAUAGCACAAUGUUACACUCAAGUUGAAAGAGUGGAUUUGAUGAUACAUUUGCACAUGUGGCCAAACUUGAAUAUAUCCGACUUUUAUUAUCUGUGGCAUGUUGGAUGGGAUUCAAACUUAUCAGAUGGAUGUGAAGAGCGCCCUUUUGAAUAGAAUUUUAAAUGAAAAAGAUACGUUGAGCAACCAAAAGGAUUUAUUGAGCCAUAUCAUGCUAACCAUGUAUUCAAACACAAAAAGGCGUUGUACGGGCUAAAAUAAGCUCCAUAAGCUUGGUAUGAAGUAUUGACUAUGUUCCUACUAAGAAGGGAUACAAGAGAGGGGGAGAUGACAAAACUUUGUUCAUUAGACAGCUCAAAUGUGGAUUAAUAGCAACGCAAAUAUUGUUGAAGACAUUAUGUUUGGAUCUAUGUCUGAAAUAAAAUUUAGGGACUUUGUUACUCCUACGCAAAAUGAGUUUGAAAU